This is a long non-coding RNA of Sycon ciliatum, 1074 nucleotides long. RefSeq lists it as uncharacterized. The transcript has 2 exons. The record is from RefSeq and is a predicted model, not a curated record. Lineage: Eukaryota; Metazoa; Porifera; Calcarea; Leucosolenida; Sycettidae.
CCAAACAUAGACUAUUAUUAGUAAUAUUAGUAUCUGAAAUAGACCUGUUGAAUGGUAGAUCUACUGAGUUUGUGUUCGUUGAUCGUUGUUGGACGUUGCCGUGUAACUGUGUCUUUUGUUUAAACUCCACUAACUGGCUGGCUAACUCGAGAUGAGCGGUGCUAGAGGCGGUCAGAAUCCUCGCUUCGAUGCGGAUAAGAAGCUGGCACUAUGGUCGCAGCGAGAUCUGAUGAGACUGCAAGACUGCCUGAUGGAGCUCAUUGACGGGGCUGAGAUGCGCCUGGUCUCUGAGUAUCUCAUCUCGCCAUUCAUCGUUUCCGGUGGACGUGCAAACAUCCUCGUCGAGAACCGACUUCCUCGCUCACGGCAGCUGACAGAUGCUGUGUUCCUUACAGAGAUGUUAAAGGUUUGGAUGGAUAGAGACGGCAAUGCGACUUUGGAGAAGCUGUGUGGAGCAAUAGAGCAAAUCAUGAUCGAAGAUAAGGGGAGAGCAAGACAAUGCCGACGUCACUUAGGCCUUUGAGGAGUACCACGCCAGUCACCAUCUUGAUGAUGGUUUGUGCCUAGGGUGCUACUCCUGUACAGUGCUCUGUGCGGCAUUGUACUUUUGAUCUUCAUGAUUGUAUGUCCAUAUAGGCGAAAAGACUUGACCUGAUUUACCGGAUGCGUUCAGACUUGCAGCCAGAUAAUAUGUCAGGUGCAUGGUUAAUUGUAGAGGUUCACCAGUGAUCAUCAUAAUCACGAGUAUGGCAAUGCUCUCUACCAUAAUAAUUGAUAGUGGUCGAUGGUCGUGAAGCAAAUCCUGUUGUAAAUAAACAUGUUGCAUGCUUAGCUGCAUUACUAUGAAGUAUUUUCAGCCAAAUUCCUUUGAUAUUCUAGUACAUUUUCGACUUAGGAUAGUUUUUUUUAAAUUAACAGUGCUUCCAUUAAUUAUACGUGUGCAACCUGCCGCUGAUGACGAUGCUUAAAUAGCAUCUCCUCACUCUAGGAAUUCUUGCAAGCUGGUGUUGCCGUACCACAUUUUUUUUGUCUCAGCACAAAGAGUAUUUUCAAUAGGUCUUUAUCUUCAUCUGA